This 1227-nucleotide ribosomal RNA is filed under the name Enterococcus faecium. RNAcentral's name for it is "bacterial SSU rRNA". It matches the Rfam family "Bacterial small subunit ribosomal RNA", at positions 208 to 1423 of the family's 1533-position model. Lineage: Bacteria; Bacillati; Bacillota; Bacilli; Lactobacillales; Enterococcaceae. The record is from RNAcentral.
CGCUUUCGGGUGUCGCUGAUGGAUGGACCCGCGGUGCAUUAGCUAGUUGGUGAGGUAACGGCUCACCAAGGCCACGAUGCAUAGCCGACCUGAGAGGGUGAUCGGCCACAUUGGGACUGAGACACGGCCCAAACUCCUACGGGAGGCAGCAGUAGGGAAUCUUCGGCAAUGGACGAAAGUCUGACCGAGCAACGCCGCGUGAGUGAAGAAGGUUUUCGGAUCGUAAAACUCUGUUGUUAGAGAAGAACAAGGAUGAGAGUAACUGUUCAUCCCUUGACGGUAUCUAACCAGAAAGCCACGGCUAACUACGUGCCAGCAGCCGCGGUAAUACGUAGGUGGCAAGCGUUGUCCGGAUUUAUUGGGCGUAAAGCGAGCGCAGGCGGUUUCUUAAGUCUGAUGUGAAAGCCCCCGGCUCAACCGGGGAGGGUCAUUGGAAACUGGGAGACUUGAGUGCAGAAGAGGAGAGUGGAAUUCCAUGUGUAGCGGUGAAAUGCGUAGAUAUAUGGAGGAACACCAGUGGCGAAGGCGGCUCUCUGGUCUGUAACUGACGCUGAGGCUCGAAAGCGUGGGGAGCAAACAGGAUUAGAUACCCUGGUAGUCCACGCCGUAAACGAUGAGUGCUAAGUGUUGGAGGGUUUCCGCCCUUCAGUGCUGCAGCUAACGCAUUAAGCACUCCGCCUGGGGAGUACGACCGCAAGGUUGAAACUCAAAGGAAUUGACGGGGGCCCGCACAAGCGGUGGAGCAUGUGGUUUAAUUCGAAGCAACGCGAAGAACCUUACCAGGUCUUGACAUCCUUUGACCACUCUAGAGAUAGAGCUUCCCCUUCGGGGGCAAAGUGACAGGUGGUGCAUGGUUGUCGUCAGCUCGUGUCGUGAGAUGUUGGGUUAAGUCCCGCAACGAGCGCAACCCUUAUUGUUAGUUGCCAUCAUUCAGUUGGGCACUCUAGCAAGACUGCCGGUGACAAACCGGAGGAAGGUGGGGAUGACGUCAAAUCAUCAUGCCCCUUAUGACCUGGGCUACACACGUGCUACAAUGGGAAGUACAACGAGUUGCGAAGUCGCGAGGCUAAGCUAAUCUCUUAAAGCUUCUCUCAGUUCGGAUUGCAGGCUGCAACUCGCCUGCAUGAAGCCGGAAUCGCUAGUAAUCGCGGAUCAGCACGCCGCGGUGAAUACGUUCCCGGGCCUUGUACACACCGCCCGUCACACCACGAGAGUUUGUAACACCCG